This is a long non-coding RNA of Prinia subflava (tawny-flanked prinia), 13289 nucleotides long. RefSeq lists it as uncharacterized. The transcript has 8 exons. The record is from RefSeq and is a predicted model, not a curated record. NCBI's taxonomy places the organism in Eukaryota, Metazoa, Chordata, Aves, Passeriformes, Cisticolidae.
ACAACUAUCUCUCAAAACCUUUUAUUUUUUUUCCUUUAACAAUGGUUUUUUCAAAUACUGGAAUCGCUGGGUGCCACUCAGGUGCGAAUCGCUGCUGUCCAGGGGCUGUAGUGACAAAAUUUUAACAAACACUGUCACCUUCUGGGCACGCCGCAGCAGUGCAGCUUCCGACCCGGCAUCCUGCAAGGAAGGCUGCUUCCCCCUGCCCGGGAGAGCCACUGCCCCUCCUGACUCGGAAACUUUUCUGAUGUUCCACCAAGCCUAGAUCCACUGGCUUGAUCACUCUAGAAAAAGGAGCUUUGUGUCUUCGGGUGAAUUUAGUACUGAGCGGCUUUGGUUUCUGUUUGUUUGUAGUUUCAUGCUUAGAAACCCUGUCUGAGUGGGAUUUGCGCAAAACCUUUGCGGGUUUUUUUUUUGUUUUUUUUUUUUUCACUUCUUGGUACAUUUUGCUACUUAAAAAUGUAAGCAAUAUGUGGUGCCCAGGGUGUUGAGCUCACAGCUAAUCCUACAUCCUGCCUUUGUCAUGCUCCCUGGGCAGGAAGAUCCAUUGUUUCAGCCCCACUGGACCCACUGGAGAUGCUUGGGAUGCAGUGGGAGGGUAACCCUCUGCUAUGGGAUGACACCUCCCAUCAGUUCAGCCAGUGUCAUACAUGGCUGAGCUUGGCCACGGGUCAGAGCUGGUUUAAAAACCCACUAGAAUUCCGUUUUCAUUCUCCUCCCUCACCUAGGCUAUAAUUUGGAGGUUUAGCAGAACCUAAGUAUUCAUUUAUAAGACUCUUGAAGGCUUUCAGUCCUCUUGUGGCCAUCUGGUUUCUCAGUGGCUGGUUGGUGAACAAGCAGGAUAUUGGCACACUGGGCAUUCCCUCUGUGGAGCAGAGCUCCUUGGUAUCUGUAGCUGUGUUUACCAGUUUAUAAAUAAUUCUUUGUAUUGUGGUUGACUUGCCCAGCCUUGUGUUGUCUAAAGCCAAGCCAAAUGGGCAGUGGGAGGAACGGCUUUCCUCCUCCUUGGGCCAAAGGGAGUUGCUGAAUGCUCUUUUGUUUAAUAAUUAUCACAAUAAUAGAGUUUGGUGCCGAAAAGAUGGACCUUCAGGACCUGGCUGACCAGGAAAGGCUUUGCUGGGACUCCUGGGUGUUUUAAAAAAAGUGACGGCCUAAGGAUUGUUGAGGAAAUACUGUGAUAGCUGUUAGAAGUCAACUAGUUUGCACUCUGUCACUCAUCUGUAAAAAUUGGUGAAGAAAAAGGUGAUUUUUGAAGAAAGCUCUGCUGGGAUGGAUGCUACCUGAAGACACAGAAACAGCACUGAAAUGUUUUUAAGUCUGUCAACCCACUCUGGUCUUCCAUUGAAGAGGAACAGUGCCAGAUUGGCUAAUUAACAUUAGGCCACAGUUUCAAAAGGACUUAAAAAACAUAGCAACAACGCAUUCCAACACUUCCCUCUGAUUAUGGGAAAGCACCCUGCCCUCCGAGCCUAGACCACACACUUGCUGCCAUCAUCUUGAAUGCCAUGUAACUGGGUAAGCGGGCUAGGUUCGGAGGAACCACGACAGCAGCUGAAAAUCUGCCCGAGGUGGCUGACAGGGAACCACAGCACUCCUGGUAUGAGCAAUGAACAGCAGUGAGUUGGGGAAGUGGCACAUUUUAGGUUUUCAUUUUGCAGGUUGAAGCCCCUGCCAAGGCUACAAUGUCGGCCGAAACCACAGAAUUUCAAAAUGUGUCUUAACAGCAAAUCGAGAAAUCAAUGCACCUUUCUCAUUUUCCUGGAGCAUGACAGAAAGGGCAGUUAAUCAAUAGGUGUCUGUCUGUCCAUUCUAGGGAGCACUGUAUGAGAUCCUGUGGGUGAAAAUAAACAGAGGGAAAAUGAGGAAUCUAGUCUCAUGCAGAUGGCACUUCUCUGAUAGGAGAUCCGUGCCCUGUAAAUAGAUAAAGCACUGCAGACUUGCACUUCAGACCCCAGAAGAAAUGCAUGGUAAGGACUAUCUACUUGAGCUCAUUGUUGUGUGGGAGAUUGAGUAAGCAAACACUGAACUGUAAACCUCUGUCUAUUUACAAAAGGACACAACAAUAAAUAAAAGCAUAGUAAAUAGUGAGAGAUUGGAUUGACAGCGCUGUAGAAAUCUUGGUUGGUAGCUAUACUUAGAUGGCCAAGGAGCUAAGGGUGCUUCUGCAACAAAACUGUGCUCAAGAAAACAUUGGCAGACUGAAGAGAAAUGAUAAGAGUGUAAAUUAUUUACACAAUUCUUUUCAGCUACCUGUAAUGGUGGUUUAUAAUGAAAAUAGGAGGCCACAUUUGAUCUCUACAUGAGCACAACUCCAUGGAUCUGGCUUAGAAGUUACAAAUAAUUUAUCUGAAGAUAAAUUACAUUGUUUAAAUUAUUUGUUAUUUGCGUGGAUUAAUGUUAAUUCACAUAUACACACUUUCUUGCACUUUUCACACAUUCAACAAUGGAAAUUUUGCAGACAAAACCAAAACUACAGUCUCUGAGUCAGGCUGCUUCUACCACUGUGUUACUGAAAUUUCUAAUCAUCAUCUCAUGACAAUAGUUUCAAGGGAUUUAUGAAAAAGUAGCAGAGAAUACACUUUUCUGUAAUUUACUAUUUCCUGUAAUUCAUCAUACCAUUUUUUUUCCAAAUUGCUUUGACUUUUUUUCAGGAGUAUCAUAUAUCACAGUCCAACUACUUGUGACCCUUUUCCAGCUGAUAUUCUUCUGCCUUUGUGCAUUGCUUAUUCCUGUUUCACUGCAAAGACAAUUAUAAAAGAUAUCCAAGUUCACUUGCUGGAACCUGGCUUUUCUCCAGGAUUAUAUGACCCACAUACAUGCUGAGCUGUGACCAGUCAUGGAUGUCACAUGGAGGAAGUGAGGCGCUGAUCCUGCAAGCCAGAGUCACUGGGACUUGAGGGUGGAAUUUAAAACUAGAGAGAGCCUGCAGAGCACAAGCAGCAUCUACUGAUGGAAAUAACAUGAAGACCAGCCUGGCAAAGCAUUUGAUUUCACAGGAAAAGAGCCCCUGAGACUGGAGCAUGGAGGAGUUCAAACCCCAUGUAAAGUCUCUGCUCAUUUUCAAAGACAAAAUCCAAAUCUCAGCCUACAGCUCAUCCAGAGGUGAAAGGCCACUACAACGUGACAUUUGACAAUUCCCCUCACAGAACAGGCACAGCGUGGUUUGUAAAUUUUGCCUUUUAUAAGGAUGUUGUAAUCAGAAAAGGACAAGUGUAUUUUUUAGUUUGAGAGAACGGUAGACAGCUGAAGGGAUUGUGAGAUGUGCACAGACCUGCAGAUGAGCUGUCUUGGAAGGUCUUGUUGUCAUUACUCUCGAUGUCUCAAAGAUCUGUGAUAUCAAUAUUGUCUAUUCCAAGCAAUGUGUCUUUUUGUUUAUACUCAGCUAAGGCCUGUGCAUCUAAAAAGUUUGCACUGAACUUCCUGAAACUAAAUUUCUUUGUUUUACUAUCUAAAACAGAGAAGCACCAUACUUGCCCACGUUAUUCUUCAGAGAAUAUAACAAUAUUCUUUCAAGAGAAUCUGAUUUUUUCAUGCACUGACAACUGUAACUUAAUUAUAUUAAGCCCUUCAUAGCAUGGUUAGAAAAGAAAUCAGUGUCUGUAUCACUCACUGAAAGCCCAGGUAAUAACUGUGUACAUGGCCUGUGCACAUCCCAGUGGUUGCACCUAAGAUGUCAGGGAAUUGCAUUGAAUUCACCAUUUAAUUUCAAGUAAAGUCACCGAAAGAUAAAGCAGAACUGACUCAAACUGGUGGCGCUGCUGAUCCUGGGCUUCCUGCCUUUGUGUUUCCUUGCUCAUCCUUCACUGGAAUAAAACACAGAGGAGAGAUUCCUUGGGAGUCUUGUGCUGAUGAGCCCCUCAGUGGCACCCUCGGUAAGGGUUGUAUCUUCCCUCUGUGGUUGGACUGACACUCAUCUAACUCUAACCCUUUCCUGAGCUGCCCCAGUGAGGAGCACUACAGCCUCACUGUGUAAUUUGGUGGUGGCUUAUUCAAAAGAGAAGUGAGGACAAAUUCACUCACUUAAGAUCUCAGUUGUCCUCUUUUUCUCCCCACUGGCUUUAUAAAACAAUGACAAGGCACUUAGAGAGACAGAAUAAAUCAGAUAAAUCUGGGCCUCUGUUUUGCUUACAGUAUUUUCCUACAACAGCUGUUAACAAACAUCAUCAAGACACCAAUAAUACAGCUAAAAAAGCUAAAAAAACAAGCCAGACAAAGUCUAGCAAUUCUCCAUUGUAGAGAAAAAUAAGAAAAUUCAAAUUUUUAAUCACAUUAGCUCUCUGGGACUAUUUCAGAUGAGAAAAUUUAGUCUGGAACAAGAUAAUAGAACAUUAAAACCCCGAAGAGCAGUAACAGACAAGAGAUUAACUUAAACACCUCCUAAAAUUAAAGAAUUUGACUUCGUCCCGGAAAACACUGACACCAGCAUGUGACCUGUCACAGAGACAGGGAGAUACAGUGCAGAAAGAUAGUGGGGAUACAGAAAGAAUGAGGAUACCACAAGUAAAACAACAGCUAUGAGGAAAGCUGGAGACAAAUAGCAAGACAGCAACAGCAACAGAUGUUUUCCCUUAAGGUCAUAAAUGGAAACAGAAAUCCUGAUGCACAGGAGCUUUUCCGGAGAAAUACAUCUGUAUCAGAGCAUGAAACACCAGCGAGAGAAAAACAGAGCACCAGACACCAAGGGUAAAAGCAAAGCAGUCUCCUGUUUUUGCAAGGAGAAUCAGGGCAGAUGCCCAGGCAGUGGUGAUGGGCUAUUGUUUGAGGAGAAACAAUCUCAUCUCUUCCCACCAAGACGAUGGGAGCGGACGCACAGUGCUGGGCUCUGGUCAUGUCUGGAUGAUUCACUGCCCAGAGUACCUGGCACAAGAUUUGGCCUGAGAUUCUUGUGCCUGGAAGGAGAAGGACAGUACUGCUGAUUGCUUGGACUGAGGUAGAGAGCAGGGGCCCCUGUUCAAGGGCAGAAAACUGGGCCCCCUCACCAGGAGGCUGCCAGCUAAAACUGUCCUGGCUGAGCUCACGCUCUGCUGGUGGCAUUCCUGGAUGGCCUCUGGGCUGCACUUCAGGCCAUGAGGUGCCCUUUGGAAGUCAGAGCAAGUUGUGUAUGAAGCACCAGAGCGCAGGCUGGGCUCAAGUGAAUGUUGGAAGAUGUGUUAUCUCAUUCUAGCAGGCAACACGCUGCGGGCAGCUGUGGCCUCAGCACAUCCACAACCCUGACUUUCCACACAGACCUCUGCUCUUUAUUUUUUCCCCACAACAACCACAUUUGAUCUCUGCUCAAGACAAAUGCAGGGAAAAGUGCUUUCUCAGACCACCUCUCGCUCAAGACUGACAUUAUCAGUCUGGAAUAUUCUCAGGGCUAUUGGGUGUCCGGAAGAGGGAAUGGCUGGGAUCUGAGUGUACCGAUCAAGCCUAAACCAAACACCUCCCCAGAUUUUGCUCAGACUAUCAGGAAAGGUAAUUUAGCACCUGGGGAAGAUAGGGUUUGGAGCUUGUAUUUGGCACGCCAGCCAGCCAUCUCAGAAUGGACCUACCAGAUGAGAUAUUGUGUCACAAAAAAAGUUUGCGGAGGUGUUAAGUGCAAAAGCAUUCCUGAACCAAUAGAAUAUAAAAACCACAAAAAACUCCAACACUUUUGCCAGGAAAGAAUAGUGUCUGUGUGUUUUUCAAAAUUCUGUUUGCAUAAAUAUCCAGGAAAGAAGGGAAACAGGAAUAAGAAAAAGUGCCACUGUGUUUUUCACAGUUCUGAUAAAUGCAGUGCACAUGCAGAAGGGCUCUGGAAGCCAUCUGGUUGUACAGCCAGUGUAGGGUGUGCUCUGCUGGCUCGUGGACAUACCUGCUCAGUAGCAGAGCUACCAGAGCUUUCUGCUACACAGCCUGACUGCCUGGCAAUGGAAAAAAAGAGUAUUUGCACGUGUGUGUGUGUUUGGAGCACUGAAUGAGGUGGUGGAUGCAAUUUAAAUGAACCUAAAGACUUAGGAGCCUGUGCUCCAUUUUUAUAAGUGACUCAUUGCAAAUUCAACACAAUGCCAUGGCAACACCAUAAAGAAGUUGCCAUUCCUCCGCCAAAGCACUAUAACCAGCUUGGAAUGCUUGAGCUGAGAACUCAUCCUACUCGUGUGGUGUAACUCUAACCUCAGGAUAGCCCCAUCCCAGUCACAGUGCACAGGCAGCUCAUCAAGGGGUGGGUGGUAAGUUGUUUUGUUGCCAUAACUCAUCUCUGGAUGCCAGCACAUAGUGUCCUGCUUUAGUUCUACAUGCAGUUUUUGAGAGGAUUCCUAAAUUACUUAAAUAACUUCUGGAUUCUUGGAAAAAAAAAGAAUAUAAAAAAGCUAAACGCUCACAGUUUGAAUCAACAGGAGAGCUGACCAUGAGCAGAUUUGUGAAACAUUAUAGCACUGUUAUUGUGGGUUUCCAAUUGCAGAACCAGGAAUAAAACUGACACAAGAUAUAAUCAAAGAAGAAGUAAAAGCCUGGAAAAGAAAUAAUGUUAGCCAACAUUGUUUUAUGAACAUCAGUCUCCUUGGACAGAUCUGAUUACAUCCUCUGGUGAGAUUAUAACUCGCUUGAUAAAAAUGACUACAUAAAUAUAAGAGACAUUUUAAGGCUUUUGAUUACUACUGCAUGACAUUUAGGCUUUCAAAAAUUACACAAUAUAAUAGAGCAUGUGAUGUACUGAAUGGCAUAAGGAGCCAAAUAAACAUCAGAGCCCUGAAAACAGUCACCAUCAAGGGCAGGGGCAGGGAGGUGGGGUGCUCUAAAAUCCUCUUUUGAUUAGUCAGAGGUGGGUGGCUGACUGCAGAAAUCUUUGUGUUUCAGGAAAGAGAAAACUAGCCAGGAGUUCAAACAGCCUAUUACAUAUCUACAAAAACAUCACCCACCCAGCCCCAAACUCAUUAGCCUUCAAUGGCAAUUAAACUAUCCCUUGGAUGUUUCUAAAUUGACCAUUUUGGGGAGACACUGAAAAGACAGUGGGAUUCAGUUUCUCAUAUUAAAAAAAAAAAGGGAAAAGACCUACCUUCCUAGUUUGAGGAAUAAAUAUUAAAGAAUUGGUUUGUGUUUGGUUUCUAGAGCCAUUCUUUAGAUGUGAAUUUCUGGAAUUCAAAUGUAAAAUUCAAAUUUGAAAACCGUUCUGCAACAAUAUGUCUUCCUUACCUUUAUAAUAGUGUUGUACUGAUGCUCCCUAAUUUUCCUUCAGUGUCCACAGUUAUCAGACUUCUCAUUUUAAUAUGCUUCUUUCAUGAGACACGAAGAAAAUUUCUGUAUAAGAGUUUCGCAGAACCUGUGAAUCAUGAGGUUCUUUCAUUAUAUUUAUUGUUGCUUACAAUGCAAACAAAAUGAGAAGGGUUUUUUGUGGAGGAGGGCAUGAGACACCUUGUGUUUUAAUUUUAAAAUAGCUAAAGGUCCCUUCCAUAGGAGAGGGUAAAUCACAGGACUCUUGUGAAAAUUCUGAGAAUGAGUGUAAACAAAAGUGAAAGAGAGUGGACUAUUUCCAGCAGACAUUAUGUAGCAAACUAAAGACAGCAAUUAGCAAACUAAAGACGGCAAUUUUCUAAAAAUAAUUAAAAAAAAUCCUGAGAAAGUUCUUCAUUUUUUUUCUGAGGCUAUUUUUACUCAACAUUUCUGUAGCAGAAAUACUGAUUUUGUAAUAUAUUGUGCUAAUGUAUUAUAGAUGACAUGUAAUUAAUUGGUUAAUAAUUUUCCUUGAUGUUGUGCAUGUCAGUGCAUCUUUAACUAGAUUUUAUUGUAAGUUUAAAUCAGGAAAUCUGUGUAACAGAGAUAAAAUAUUUACAAAUAACUAGAAAAUAGCUGUAUAGAAAUCUUUCUUGGUAGCCCAAGUCUUAUAGACAGUGCACAUUUUAUAGAAGUUUUAGGGGGAGGACCAAACAAGUCCUGGUUGUUAUAUAAUGUGGCACAGAGUGUGUUCAAAUCUGCUCACCAGAGAGAUUUCCCUUGCUCACUCAGAGCAUGGAAGGCCAGUGGCUGGAAUAGUGGAGAUUUGAGGAGCAGUCUAAGGUGCUACUGGGAUGAUUAUCCAUUUGGCUGAUACAGGGGCCUGGGAGGGUAUAAUAACAAGGUAAUUUUAAAAUUCAAGUUUGCAUUCCUGAGAAGACAGGAGGACACUGAAAUGAACACUGCUGUUGCAUUUCCAAGAGCAUCAGUUUCCCUAAAACAUCUGCAUGACACCACCAUUUGUCAUCAACUUUGCUGUCUCUUACAGUGAGUAUUUCUCUCAAAAAACCUCUCCUUCUCUGUCCUUCUGUACAACACAGACAUCCUCAGGUGCUGUGCUGAGCCCCAUCAGGUGAUACCUCAAAAGAGAAUUGAGCAAACCCACUUGGACAAGCAGAGUAACUUCACAUUCCCCUGCUGACACCCACGGCACAGACGUAACACCCUCACACUGACUAGCAUCAAUAUGAGAGCCAAAUCUUCCUCUGUGCAACUGCUGCUGGAGCUUUAAAGUGUUUCUGCUUUCCCUCUCACAUCCCUAUGAGCUAACCACAUGCCCUUGCUACUGUUGUCCUGUAACUGCCUUGAAAAAGAAAAAAAAUAGAAAAGAAAAAAAAAAGUAUCAGAAAUCCCCUAACUAAUUUUAACAGCUAGGGAGCUGGCAAGCAGAAGUGUAUGUGCUGUAGAACUGAAACAGGUGUGGUUUGAGCAUUUUCCACAUUUGGUUUUGGCAAAAACAUGAACAGAGGGUAUUAAUUCCUCCACACUGAUAAUGGGGUCUUGGAAUCCGUUAUCUGAAAUAAAAAUUCUUGGCAGAACUCCUCAUGUACUCAAAUGUGCAAGAAAACUGAAAACUAUGGUUUUCUUUCUUUUUGUUUUCUUUUUUUUCUUUUUUCUGUUUUUUUUCUUUAUUGAGAACCAGUUAUAAAUGCAUAAUUUUUUAUUUUUGUGUGAAUUUUACUGAAGCAUUUUUUACUUAGAGUGGGUUACAUGUGCAGAUAUCCCCAUGCCUCUCCUAAAAGAGUGAGCUGGAUCCCCCUCUCAAACAAAUGCCCCCCUGAUGGAUUUGCAUCUCUGUGCAUGUGUGCAUGUGCUUGCAUGCCUGCCCAUAAUCUGUGGCAGAUUAGCUCCACCAGGUUUGGUGCACUUGCACAAUGAAAAUAAUCUACUGUCACUAGCAUCUCUCCUCAAAUAUAAGAAGAGGAACAUGUCAGGUGGCCCUAAUUUUGGGAGAGACUGCAGCUGGCAGGGCUCAAGAUUUAACACAGAAAGUGAAUGAAUGGCUCAUUUGGUGUUACACGUGGUAAAUUCUGCCUUUCUCCUAUUCUCCAUUCCCUCUGUUCUGCACAAGCCUCUUAAUCCUGGGGAGACACAAAAUCUUUGUCAAGGAAAUUCCGUGGUGCCUAUGCCACCUGUGGAUGGUAUACAUGAUGUACUAAAUACUGUGAUGAUGGUAUCCCACAUGUUUCUGCUCAGUGGAGAGCACAAUUUACAGCUUUUCUCAAAACUCCUCCAAAGAGCCCCUCAAUACUCAUUGCUUCCAAAAUGCAGAGAGUGAUUUGGCUACUAAUAAUAGAUGGAUGACGCUCACGAGCCUGCCUGUAGCACUGCAGUAUGAGGGAAGCUUGCACUGGAAAACCUGCAGCCAGCCCUCAGAAUGGGGAUUAGAUUUUUCUCUUAUGUGCCUUUGCUCUUGGCCCUUAGUCAGCCCAACUCUUGAACUCCCCCACUCUCACUCUUACAACAAACCUCAGCAUCUCUGUUGAAGUUGUUCCCAGGGUUUAGAGAAGGCACAGGUUUGUGUUUUACCCAGGUGAGGAAGGCACUGUUAGAGAUCUUCCAGCCUGAGUGCUCUCCACACCAGACCAUUGGCUAGAGGAGCAAGACUUGCUUUGGCUAUUUUAAAAGAAGAAAAAUUGGUCCAUUAUUCUUAGAAAAGACAAGGUUGUGGCUGGCUCUCAGACACCGAGUCUCAGAUGGACAGACAGCCUCUGUGUCAUGCCAAGGCAAGGAUUCUCCUGCAGGGUCUGUGAUCUGUGUGUGGCCUUUCAUCAAAGCUGGGGCUUUAGGGCUCACAGAAACCAGUCAAAGCAGCCGGAUGUUCAUAGAUUUACAGAUACUCAAGAAACAUGGUUCUUCAGACCUAAACUAUGUUUCAGUGGUUUCUUCCUGUUAGAUUUUUCAGUGAGGAGAAAUAAUACAACAGUAGUAAAUUAUCUCUGGGGUUUGGGGUUUAGGUUUGUUUGGGUUUUUUUUAUUUCACCAGUCAUUCCUUGGUAAAAAGGAUCAUGUAGUUUCAAUAGUCCAAUUGAAGUUUAUACUCAGUAUUAUGUUUAUCCCAACCUGAAGUCUGAAUAUUUGAGGCAUGGAUUUUGUAUCUCAAUGCAUGUCAUGACUCUAAGUGCUCUAUAAGCAUUACCUUUCCAUUCUGUUUUAGAUGAAACUUCUCAGCUCAUUUUAGGAGUUCUUGAAAUCCUCACGUUGCAGCUCUCAUUUUUCAGCAGGAUCAUUCAUUGUUUUCCCAGUUCCUUCCAGGUCUUCUUUGCAUCUUUUGCAUAGUUUGGUUAAUUUAAGGCUCUCUAGUUUUGCCUUCGGUUUUCCGCUGAUUUCGCUGUGCUUGCUCUGGUUGCUCCGGUGGCAGCAUUCUCCUCACUGGCUGAAUCCACCUCUGUCCAUACAACAAUCCCUGUCAAUCACCUGCACCCAAACUCGGCUUCUUGGUCCCAUAGAAAAGCCACUGCAAACGAGGGGAAUUCUCCGUGAAAAGCUAGACCGCAUUUAUUUCUGCACGUACAGGCUUCAGCAACCUUUUUCAUUCGUCGACCAAGCAGAAUGCCCUGGGAAGCCCCUUAUCCCUGGAUGGCCAAGGGGCACAGGCUUAUUCAAAGGCAGUGCUCAGGAGGGGUGGGGUAAUGCCAAAGGCCCAACGUAGCUCUCUGCAGCUCCAAAAUCCCAGCAGUUUCUGCCAGCUGCAGCAGGACCGGGCUGUGUGGGUGCCAAGCCGCAGGGCCACACACAGCCUCCGUGGCUCAGCACCCGCACAGCCAGCGCUUUCCUAAAAAAGGGGGAAAAAAAUUUAAAAUGCUGAAUCAGACUCCCAGAGCCUGACCAAAAAACAGGCACAUAAACUACAAUUUUUAUUACAGAAACUCUGGUAGGGAGCAGAGAUGCUGUAGAAAAACUGGAGAAGAAGGGAAAUAUUCCUGGUGUUAAAAGCAAGCUGGAGCUCAUGGCGUUUGACCACAAUAGUUUUCUUGGCUGCUAUGGUUCCAUGACUGAUUUAAGAGGGUUUAAGGUUAAUAAACCAUAGUUGCAUAUUAUUAUCUCUGCUGCUCUUGCACUCUUGCUAGUAAUGCCGUUUAUUCAUAGAUUUAUGAUGAUUACCAUAGUACUAUAGGGAUUAUGUGUUUUUUAGGAACAUUUGCUGGUGGAGGGAAAAAAAUUAGCUGGGGGAGAAAGAGGGACUUGAUUUUCUAAUCUUUAAUGCUCCUACAUCCAGGCUAUAAAAGUCAUUGGUCCAUAACUUGGCCUCAAACCCAGAACACAACAAAAACCCCAACAAAACCAACCACCAAAUCUGCUCCUUACUGAACCUGCACAAACAUAAAUUUAAAUGUAUCAAAAAUCAUUACUGGUCUCAACACAACUUACUGAUGGGUGGGUCACAAAAAGUACAGGGAAGAAGGAAAAAAAGCAACAUCAAAAUGUUGUCCCUUGAAAAAAGAGGUAGUAUUUGCCUUUAAUAGAUUUCACAAGCUGAUUUCUUUUAAGAGGAAUAAAAUGAGGAUUUUCUUUUUCAUCUUGCAUUGUUUCAGUACUUUAAAACCAUACUGUAAAAGCUGAAGGAUAUUAAUCUGUCAUAAAAAGCUUAACGCACAAUGAUAUAAAUAGCAGGAAAAUGAUCUACAACAUUGUUAAACCACAAAGUAAUUUUUAAUUAUUAAAGCCUGACUUCCAAAAUAUGCUAAAGGAGUUUUCCUGCUUUCUGUUAGUUCAGGAAAAGAAAAAGUCAGAAAGAAAGAAAAGCCUAUAGUCCGCUUCCAGUCUCUCUUGCUUUCUGAGCUGAACUCUGCAUACAAAUCUAUAUUUGUAAGACACCCUCAUCUACCAGUUAAUCAAAGCCCUGGAAAUUCAAGGAAACCUGUGUUUAUGGAAAUCUGGCAUUUCUGUAAAGUUUUGAAUGAGAGCUAAAUAGAGCAGUUCAUCUCAUUGAAACUAAUGGCUUCUGCCAAGUGGUUUUGCAGCACUGGGUCUUCUGGCACAGUCAGCAUUUAGGAAUUCAUUUAUGAGCUGGGUUAGCUGGAGACUCUGGAAUUCAAAUUUAUGUCUAAGACUUAGUGGUUUAUUCCUGAUAGGUCUCUGUAAAGAAAUUGUAAUCAAUUUACCAAACUUGGACUUUGUAAUAUACAGAAUCGAAAGCUGGACUUUUUUUCAUGAUUUAGGACUUGGGAUUUUUUUUCCCCUUUCCCCAGAGGACAAUUGCAAACUGUACACAUGUAUAUUGUGUAACUGAAGGGGGCUUUUUAAUCACCCAUUCAUACUUGCUUUUGAAAAAGCUUUGUCCCUGUGCUCUUGACUUCCUACGGGCCUGAUCCUGCUCCCGCUGAAUUUUCCUGCGGGGGAACAGAAUCUUAUUUCAGAUGAAGUCACAUUUGCACAUAAAAAGCAGAGAAAUGUGUGGCUUGUCACACGAGUUGAUCUUAUUUCAAUCAGCAUUUGCAUGAACAUGCAGUUAGGCUCUAUUAAGCUCUUGUUUGAUUUGCUUAAAAAAAUAUAUGUCUCCGGGAGCUGGCCAGCAUAUUUGAAUAUUGGCUUUUUUUUCUGAGUCAUAAAACCCUAGACAUUUUUAGCAAGCAAUGAACAAGAAUUGCUCUACGCUUUCAAUGCAACUAUAAAUUUGCUCCUUUUUUCCCCAUUUAGAACUCCUUUGAAGAACUCAUUGAAUAAAUUAACAACUUGGAAAGCUGCCUGCCGUUUUUGUUGGCUUUGGGUUUCAGGGAGUUGCUUGGUAAACAAAAGUCAAUGGAUUCAAACAGUAACAAAGUAAUUUAAAUGAUUAAUCAAGUGUUAAAACUAGCUUAACCUCUCCUGUUUUACAAACUCUAUAUCACCCUCACUAAACUAAUAGAGGAAUAAGACACCCAUCUGGAAAUCUCAUCUGAAAUAUUAGAUUGAGAAUCAAAAAUUCAGCCAAGCAGUGUGGUUUGUAGGGAUAUCCUGGCGGAUAAUAAAUUGCAUUAAUCUUACUUAAAUUUUCCAUCUAAAUCAUGUCUUGAGACCAUAUUGCACUGAGGGGAAUGUGCCUAGCUUUGAAUGCAUUGUGCUACUGAAAAGGUUAU